RNAcentral lists this unclassified non-coding RNA (372 nucleotides) under uncultured Clavariaceae. RNAcentral's name for it is "sequence contains ITS2". The stretch from base 1 to 154 matches the Rfam family "5.8S ribosomal RNA". Lineage: Eukaryota; Fungi; Basidiomycota; Agaricomycetes; Agaricales; Clavariaceae. The record is from RNAcentral.
AACUUGUUACAAUGUAUCACUUGGCUCUCACAUCGAUUAAGAACGCAGCGAAAUGCGAUAAGUAAUGUGAAUUGCAGAAUUCAGUGAAUCAUCGAAUCUUUGAACGCACCUUGCACCUUUUGGUAUUCCGAAAGGUAUGCCUGUUUGAGUGUCUUGAAACCUCACACUCUAGAGUUUUCUCUAGAGACGUGGAUUUGGGUGUUGCAAUUUGCUCACCUUGAAUGACUUAGUGGUUCCUACCGUAGCCUGAUGUAAUAAGUUUCAUCUAGUCAAGGGAAGACUGCUUCUAAUCGCCUUACGGCACUAUUUAAGACUAGACCUCAAAUCAGGUAGGACUACCCGCUGAACUUAAGCAUAUCAAUAAGCGGAGGC